CAGCAGCCGCGGGAAAACGGGGGGGGCGAGCGUUGUCCGAAGUUACUGGGCGUAAAGCGCGUGUAGGCGGGUUGUUAAGUCCGCUGUGAAAGCCCGGUGCUCAACGCCGGAGGGUCGGUGGAUACUGGCAGUCUUGAAGUGGCUAGGGGGAAAUGGAAUUACCGGUGUAGCGGUGAAAUGCGUAGAUACCGGUAGGAACACCAGUGGCGAAGGCGGUUUCCUGGAGCCCACUUGACGCUGAGACGCGAAAGCUGGGGGAGCAAACGGGAUUAGAUACCCCCGUAGUCCCUGUCUCUUAUAC
This 301-nucleotide ribosomal RNA is filed under the name uncultured bacterium. RNAcentral's name for it is "partial 16S ribosomal RNA". It matches the Rfam family "Bacterial small subunit ribosomal RNA", at positions 509 to 807 of the family's 1533-position model. The record is from RNAcentral.